Molecule: ribosomal RNA, 462 nt
Filed under: uncultured bacterium
Lineage: Bacteria
Description: SSU rRNA
Rfam family: Bacterial small subunit ribosomal RNA
Source: RNAcentral
AGGACGAACGCUGGCGGCGCGCCUAAUACAUGCAAGUCGAACGGUUACACUUCGGUGUAGCAGUGGCGGACGGGUGAGUAACACGUGGGUGACCUGCCCACUAGUGGGGAAUAACGCUGGGAAACCAGCGCUAAUACCGCAUACGCUUGGCGCUUCAUUGUGCUAAGUAAAGAUUAAUCGCUAGUGGAGGGGCCUGCGCCAGAUUAGCUAGUCGGUGGGGUAAUGGCUCACCGAGGCGACAAUCUGUAGCUGGUCUGAGAGGACGACCAGCCACACUGGGACUGAGACACGGCCCAGACUCCUACGGGAGGCAGCAGUAAGGAAUAUUCCACAAUGGGCGCAAGCCUGAUGGAGCGACGCCGCGUGAGCGAAGAAGCCCUUCGGGUGUAAAGCUCUUUUCCCAGGGAUGAUAAUGACAGUACCUGGGGAAUAAGCCUCGGCUAACUACGUGCCAGCAGCCGC